AUUGAACGCUGGCGGCAGGCCUAACACAUGCAAGUCGAACGAGUGGCGGACGGGUGAGUAAUGUCUGGGAAACUGCCUGAUGGAGGGGGAUAACUCCUGGAAACGGUAGCUAAUACCGCAUACCAUCAGAUGUGCCCCGCUGGGAUUAGCUUGUUGGUGGGGUAACGGCUCACCAAGGCGACGAUCCCUAGCUGGUCUGAGAGGAUGACCAGCCACACUGGAACUGAGACACGGUACAGACGCCUACGGGAGGCAGAAGUGGGGAAUAGUGCACAAGGGGCGAAAGCGUGAUGCAGCAAUGCAGCGUGAAUGAAGAAGGCCUUCGGGUUGUAAAGUACUUUCAGCGGGGAGGCGUUACCCGCAGAAGAAGCACCGGCUAACUCCGUGCCAGCCGCCGCGGUAAUAC
This 406-nucleotide ribosomal RNA is filed under the name uncultured bacterium. Its description in RNAcentral is "partial 16S ribosomal RNA". It matches the Rfam family "Bacterial small subunit ribosomal RNA", at positions 30 to 526 of the family's 1533-position model. The record is from RNAcentral.